RNAcentral lists this ribosomal RNA (468 nucleotides) under uncultured bacterium. Its description in RNAcentral is "partial 16S ribosomal RNA". It matches the Rfam family "Bacterial small subunit ribosomal RNA", at positions 28 to 507 of the family's 1533-position model. The record is from RNAcentral.
GACGAACGCUGGCGGCGUGCUUAACACAUGCAAGUCGAACGGAAAGGCCCUGCUUUUGUGGGGUGCUCGAGUGGCGAACGGGUGAGUAACACGUGAGUAACCUGCCCUUGACUUUGGGAUAACUUCAGGAAACUGGGGCUAAUACCGGAUAGGAGCUCCUGCUGCAUGGUGGGGGUUGGAAAGUUUCGGCGGUUGGGGAUGGACUCGCGGCUUAUCAGCUUGUUGGUGGGGUAGUGGCUUACCAAGGCUUUGACGGGUAGCCGGCCUGGGAGGGUGACCGGGCACAUUGGGACUGAGAGAGGGCCCAGACUCCUACGGGAGGCAGCAGUGGGGAAUAUUGCACAAUGGGCGGAAGCCUGAGGCGGCAACGCCGCGUGCGGGAUGACGGCCUUCGGGUUGUAAACCGCUUUCGCCUGUGACGAAGCGUGAGUGACGGUAAUGGGUAAAGAAGCACCGGCUAACUACGUG